RNAcentral lists this transfer RNA (71 nucleotides) under Prevotellaceae bacterium. Its description in RNAcentral is "tRNA-Gln". It matches the Rfam family "tRNA". From Rfam's summary of the family: Transfer RNA (tRNA) molecules are approximately 80 nucleotides in length. Their secondary structure includes four short double-helical elements and three loops (D, anti-codon, and T loops). The record is from RNAcentral. Lineage: Bacteria; Pseudomonadati; Bacteroidota; Bacteroidia; Bacteroidales; Prevotellaceae.
UGACCUAUGGUGUAAUGGUAGCACAACAGGUUUUGGUUCUGUUUGUAGUGGUUCGAAUCCGCUUAGGUCAA